CAGUAGCCGCGGUAAUACGGAGGAUCCAAGCGUUAUCCGGAAUCAUUGGGUUUAAAGGGUCCGUAGGCGGUCUUGUAAGUCAGUGGUGAAAGCCCAUCGCUCAACGGUGGAACGGCCAUUGAUACUGCAGGACUUGAAUUAUUGGGAAGUAACUAGAAUAUGUAGUGUAGCGGUGAAAUGCUUAGAGAUUACAUGGAAUACCAAUUGCGAAGGCAGGUUACUACCAAUUGAUUGACGCUGAUGGACGAAAGCGUGGGUAGCGAACAGGAUUAGAUACCCCUGUAGUCCCUGUCUCUUAUAC
Molecule: ribosomal RNA, 301 nt
Filed under: uncultured bacterium
Lineage: Bacteria
Description: partial 16S ribosomal RNA
Rfam family: Bacterial small subunit ribosomal RNA
Source: RNAcentral